GGGAGCGAGGCGUAGGAGUGGUGAGCUCCAGUCCAAACAGUGCCCGCGGCGCGCCUCCACCCUGCCUGAGGGCGCGCCUCUGCCUGAGGGGGCAGCCAAGUGAAGAGCCCCACCGACCUGUCAGGGUUCAGCCCAGCAGUCGCCCCCGCCCCCGUCCGUAGGGACAAGCUUUUCUGGGCGUGGACGCCGUGGAAGAAAUGAGUUCCCUUAGCCCCUUACAGAGAGCGCUGCGAGGGGUCCAGCUAAGUUUCGGUUUGAAAACUCGGUUCUGCGUGACACGUGGACCGGAAUCCGGAUCUCCCCUCCUCGCGUGCUCGCCAGGUCCUCUGCCCGCGGUGGCCGCGGCUGGGGGAGCGGGAGCCGGGCCGCUCAACCCAAGGACGAGGUGGUGGUGCCUGACUGGCAAGCAUGAGCGAGAUCCUCAUUUAGAAAUUCCGGAAGAAGAAACAGGUUUGACAAUAAAAACUAUAAGUUUUCUUUCUUGAUAAGGAAGAAACGGUAUUCUACUCUACACUUGAAUACAGUUUAAAAAAAAAAAAUCUUAUUUGGAAAUCACUGCUUUUCUGCUCACCAUAUUUUGAAAUUUGAUAACUACGGUGAAGUUUCUCAGUAUUUUUUUCCCUGCGCUGUGCAGAAUCCUUAAAUAAUAUUGCAGUAGGGGUUUUUUUUUGUUUUUUUUACCAGAGCUGUAAAUAUCUGGUUAUGUUAGUAUCCCGGAAAUUUCCAAGAAUUUUACAGUAAGAUCCAGGGCAGUAUUGCAAGUGUUGGGAAUAGGUGCAUCCUUUCUUAUUAAAAUUACCAAUAAAUUCUAGUUUGGCAUUUUAUGUUUGUUACAAGCUUCAUAAGUAUGAUAAAUGUGCACCAAAGAGUUCCUAAGAAUUCUGUCCCUCUUUAUUGAGAACUUACUCUGUGCCAUGUACUUCACAUCAUCUCACAUUCAGAACACCACUUUACUGGGAUGCAGACUUAAGGUGAGUUAGAAACAAUAAGAAGUCUCUCCUGGCCCACACACAGAUGUAGCCCAACCCCAGGCUGCGGGCCUCAGCCAGGAGCCCUUGGGCUGUGAUCUGCCUACCACAAUGGAGGAAGGGGAGACCUGUGCCCGGGAGGUAUUGUCAGCCUUCUACGGUGAGGGAGUCAAAGUACAGAGGAGUCAUAUGACAGUAUCCAGUCAAAGCAGGGGCUAAUUCUACCUUCACGAGAUGCCAAAGAUUUUUUUCUUCCUGUUUGAUAAUUUUGAAAUGCACAUUUCAAAACAUUCAGAAAAGGGAACAUAGAACAUUUUUUAUGUUUUCUGGAGCAUUGGCUUUCCCAUCUCUAAAGUGUGGGUGUUCAGUUAGAUUACCUCUGCGGUCCCACCUAAUUCCACCACUCAAACCCUUAAACCAGGUUUGGUUCUUUCAGGUCUUCAGAGAAACUCUCCCAUAUGUGAAUAAAUAUUCCACAAGAAAAGAGAGAAUGUAGUAACCUGAUUCCAACCCUCAGUUACUGAAGCCCCAAAACCUCUCCUUUUUUUUUUUUUUUCCUUUUCUCUAUACAUUCACUCCUUGGUGAUCUCAUCUAAUUUCUUACACCUUAACUACAGCCUCUGCUCUGAGGAUUCAGAUUUAGUCUUCUCUGUCUCAACUCUCUUUAGAGAUUAAAUUCUCAAACUCCAGUUCCUUGGACUGAUAGAGUUGUUCUCUUUUUCUCUGAAACAAAUUUCCUUUUCCACUGUGUGGAAUCAUCACCAUCUUCCCAGAAAACAAGAUUCUAAGUUUUAUUUUUACAAGUCACUUCAUAUUCAAUCAUUAAAUAUCUGUUGUUCUGCUGCAGUAAUUCCAAGAUUUACUUUUCCCCCUUAAUUCCUGCUGCCAGAUACUAGAGUUUGGCAUUGACUAUAGGACCAGCUACGUAACUUGCAGGGCUCAGUACAAAAUAAAAAUGCAGGGCUCCUUGUUCAAAAAUCAUGAAGAAUUUCAAGAUGAUGACAGGAGAGCAUUAGAGCAAAUGUGAAACACUUCUGAGUUCAGUGCCUUGUACAUGGCACAGGAUUCAUGGACAAGAAGCCAGCCCUGACUGGCCAUAUCAUGUUAACUUCUAGAUGACCCCUUUCCAUCCUUUCUUCCUAAUAGUUAGCAUAAAAGGUUUGAAAAGAGCCUCUUUACAGGGCACUUUCAUCUAAUCAGCAAAUCUUGUUAUUAUUGUGACAGAUUCUGUUGGUUGCAAACCUACAACUUCCAGGUCUUUCCUGCUAGCAAAUGGCUAGGUUGUCUAGAUGUACUUUGACUGUGGAUGGGCAGGAGCUGAAGCCAGGAAGGCAGUUAGGAUGUAAUGAACCAGAGCUUUCCAGUCCAGUUAUAAGCAUAAUCAGUCAGAUACACCUUCUGGACACCCCGAAUGGUCUCUUCACUGUCAUGGACAUCAAGAAACAUGAUGAUAUUAAUGAAUUGGCUUCUGUGGUCAGCAGCCAGUCACCUCACUCCUGCUAUUCCCAGGCUCUGUCACAUGGAGUCACUAUGGAGAAACUGGCUCUUCACUCUUCAGGCCCUGAUCCUGGUCCACUCCGCUGUGAAGCCUCCAGGUCCCAGGUCACCGUGCAGACUGGCUUGGUCCUUCCAGUAGCCACGAUGCUACUUCUCCCAGCUUGCAGCCCUUAGUACUCAUAUCCGGGCGUCUUCGGAGAUGCUACAUGCUCCAGGUUUGCUGGGCCAGGACAUGGUGGAGGUUUUAAAACAUGCCACAGAUAUUUUGACACCCCUCCCAUCAAGAGAUGGAUUAUAUUUCCUCCCUUCAACCUGAUCAGGUCUUGUGAUGGAAGCAAAGCUAAAUGACUUCCAAGGCUGGGUUUAUAAAGGCUGUUCUAGUUUGCGGGCUCUCCUGGGACACUUGUCAGCUGUUAUGUAAGAAGUCUAGUGCCCCUGAGUCCUCAUGUUGAGAGCCCAAGUGGAGAAGACCACAUAGAGAGAGAUGCCUGAGAAGCCCCACUGUUUGGGUUCUCCCAGCCCAAGCACCAGACGCAUGAGUGAAGAAGCCUUCCAGAUGAUCCUUGCCCCAGCCCUCCCUGUCUGACAGUAACUACACUAGAGGAUGGAAGAAAUGGCCAGCUGAGCCCCAGUCAAUCCCCAGAGCAAAAUAAUAAACA
Molecule: non-coding RNA, 3124 nt
Organism: Leptonychotes weddellii (Weddell seal)
Lineage: Eukaryota; Metazoa; Chordata; Mammalia; Carnivora; Phocidae
Source: RefSeq, a predicted model, not a curated record